Long non-coding RNA from Gossypium raimondii (Peruvian cotton), 1801 nucleotides. RefSeq lists it as uncharacterized. The record is from RefSeq and is a predicted model, not a curated record. The transcript is spliced from 2 exons. NCBI's taxonomy places the organism in Eukaryota, Viridiplantae, Streptophyta, Magnoliopsida, Malvales, Malvaceae.
UUAAUUUCUUUUUUUGUUAUUUUUUUCUUUCUUUUCACACUUUCUUCACUUUAAAAUUUAUUGCAUCUGGUAGUUAAUUUUCCUUUAAAAUUUUCUUGUGCAUUAUAUUUUCUAAACAACUAAACACCAUUUUUCUUCUUAAACUUUGGUUCUGUUAUUGAGCAGACCACUCAGAAGUUCCGAGGGAUAGCUAGAUCGAAGCUAAAAAUACUGGGGGAGCAUCAACUAAUAGAGACAAAGCAAUGAAAAGGUCACAUAAUCAAUGUUGUGGUGAACCAAGGUUAGUACUUUGUGUACUGCACUUGAAAACGAGGUUGUGCACAACAAGAAGUCAAGUAAGAUGUGCGAACCCUUUUAUUUAAUGUGUGAACCUUGGCAUGUACAUACGACCCCUACUAGAUUUUCAUUCGAACCCUGUGAUAAUUUGAUGUGAGCUCUGAGUUGUGAUCUGUGAACCAUGCUUUUAAAUUGUGUGAGCCUAUAAGUGAGUGCGAGCUCAAUGUUUAAAGCUUUGUGAUAUAAUUGGUGCGAACUAUUAUAUAUUAUAUAUAAAUAUAGGUGUUGUGGGUUUUAAUUUAUAUAAUAUAUAUACAUGUUGAAAAAAGGGUUGUCAUAUAUUAUAAAUGCAAGUGGUGGUUUUAUUAUAAGUAAUAUAUAUUAUUUAGCUAAGAGGGUACGCAUACUUAUAUAAUAGAUAAUCAUGAUGUAAAAAGGGUUUUGUACAAUGAAUGCAUGUGCAGGCUUCUUUAUAAACAAUAUAUAUACAUAUCUUUGCACUAAAUGGGUUCUUGUAUUAUUUAAUAUAUAAAUGUAUACAGAUAGUGUGUGAACUUUAAAUCUAUUAUGAUGUAUGUACAUAAAAUAUUAUGAAAACAUAUUACAUGCGAACAUAUGUCAUAUGUGAACCCUGUUAUUUUAUGCUUGAUGUUUUGUAUAUGCGAGCUAAAUGCUUUGCGAACUAUAUUAUGACGUGUUGUGGUACUACGAGCUCUGUUAAAAUUGUGAGCCUAAAAUGACUUAAUUUGUAAAUGUGUAUUAUUGUGAUAUGUUGGUAUUGUGAAUUUUUGAAACCAUUGGAUAUAGUUGACGUGCCUUAAGAUUGUGAAUGAUAGCCCAUAUUAUGUGAUAAGGCAUUGUGGCCUGGUGAUUCGAUGGAGAAAUAAGGGAAUGUCGAGCAAUGCUCCAUUCACCGAGGAUUGUAAGGGUGUGUUUUACGGAGAGUGUGAGCUUUCGCACUGCACUUAUAUGGCGAUUUGAGUGACUCUAUGAGUAUUAGGGUGUGUUUGGGAGAUUCAUUUAUCCAAUGAGUAUAUUAUUUAAUUAUGUUUUCUUUCACGAAUUUCUAAUAUAUCACUAAACUAAAAGUGGUUGAUUAUAUGUGAAUUAAUGAUAUACGUAUUGUUUGUAUGCAAAUCACUUACAUGUAAAAUUGUUUAUGUGUGAACUGUUAUAUGCAAUCUGUCUGUAAGUGAGUUAUUUGGUAUGUGAACUAUUGAUGUGUUCUCUUGUGUUGUACGCAUGUGUAUUCACUAAGCUUUCCCAAGCUCAUCCCUUUACUUUAUUUUCCCUUUAAGAUAAGUAGUGCAUGAAAUAGUGAAGAGGGUGGCAAUUUAGUGAUCCAUCGCACAAAUUUUCUUUCUACAGUAUGUGCGUUGAGCUUAUAAAACCCCAAGAAGGCAUUGUGGGACAUUCUGGGUUGGGGACUUAGAAUGGGACCUAGAUAAUUUGGGACAAUUUAUAAAACAUUUUUCAAGGGUUGUAAAUGGACUUUUUGGGCUGUUUAAUUUUUGAGACUUUUUAA